Molecule: ribosomal RNA, 274 nt
Filed under: uncultured bacterium
Lineage: Bacteria
Description: partial 16S ribosomal RNA
Rfam family: Bacterial small subunit ribosomal RNA
Source: RNAcentral
AUACGGAGGGUGCAAGCGUUAUUCGGAAUCACUGGGCGUAAAGGACGCGUAGGCGGGUUGGCAAGUCAGAUGUGAAAUCCUACAGCUUAACUGUAGAACUGCAUUUGAAACUGCUAACCUAGAGUAUGGGAGGGGGAGAUGGAAUUAGUGGUGUAGGGGUAAAAUCCGUAGAUAUCACUAGGAAUACCGAAAGCGAAGGCGAUCUCCUGAAACAUAACUGACGCUAAGGCGUGAAAGCGUGGGGAGCAAACAGGAUUAGAAACCCUUGUAGUCC